This 819-nucleotide small RNA is filed under the name Pongo abelii (Sumatran orangutan). RNAcentral's name for it is "processed transcript". Lineage: Eukaryota; Metazoa; Chordata; Mammalia; Primates; Hominidae. The record is from RNAcentral.
CUUUCCUUCCGCCCAGCACCUCCAUGCCCUCGGUGCACGAACGCGGCGGCGGCGGCCAGAAGUCCCCCGUGGCUUAUGAAUGACACGGACAGAGAGCCCAGCGACGUGGAUGGGGCAGCUAGGGGCAGCAGUGUGGACGCGGACCCUCAGUCCUCAGGCAGCUCAGGUCCUGGUUCGUCCCCUAACCCAGGAGGAUGCUGUGGGAGCUGGAGCAGCAGCAAGAGGGAGAAUGGGGGGAAGCAGCACUAGAGAAGUUCCCAGAGCUCAUCCUGUCACUGGCUGCUCUGCUGAAAUUAUCAAUAAGAAAUGCCAGUUGGAUCUGUGACAUGUCUGCCCGCAGCUGGAUGGGAGCAACUGACAGCUUGUCCUCCGAAUGUGUUUUCUGUGUGUGUGCAAGCGCGUGUGUUCCAAACGGGCAGUAGCGUGUGGGAAGGAAAAAGCCUGACACUUGUUUUUAUCAAUUUGCUGAUGCUCAGUCCCAGCGGCUGCCUCCUUUGCCCCCAGCUGCUCUGCUAUUUCUCUCUUUCCAAUCCUGCGCGAUCCUGAGCAGAGAUAAAAGAUUUCUGCUUCUGCUCCCAGAUCCAGGCGCAGACCCUGCAGGCAGCUGCUCCCGAUGUCUCACAGCUAUUAGUCUUCAAAAGCCCCCCGUGCCUCUGUGCACACGCGCCUCUCCUCCCCAGCCAGCCCCCCUCCCAGCCCAGCGGCGAUGUCUCUGCCUGGCUGGCCCGUGCCCUUGACUUCCAGGCAGUAGGAGAUGGAGUUCUCUAGACAGCAGCACUUCAGCCGCCACUCCGCCUCUGAAGGGAAGGAAGGGAAAGG